GCUCUUCCGAUCUGGGUAGUCAUUCCAUUUUCUUUUUUCUUUUCUUUGAAUCGCAUAAAUUCUUAUAGAAAUAAUGGCAGAUUUUUUUUUUUGGAAUAUUACGGGGUGGAAAACUGUAAAGGAUCCUAUUUACUGUUUUUCUUUCUUUCCCGUUCUAGAAAUAGAAGGGCACACGGGGAAUAAAACUGAUACGAUGUUUUUCUCUUCGGAUACUAACUCUCGGGACAGAACAAGGAAAUAUUCAACAUCUAACUUUCAGAAUGAAUGGCUGAACGACUUUCCUAUCAACGACUUUUCUACUUUUAGCCCGGCCAAAGGCGCAUUUUGGAAACUUUGAACAUUCCCGAACUCUCAUUCUACCAUGGUAUUAGAUUAGUAUUAUCAUAGAAAUUCGUUUUUGUAUAAGAAAAGAAAAAAAAAAAAAAAACUUGCAAGAAAAACUAACACUUAGAAACUUUCGAAGGAGAAUCGAC
Molecule: long non-coding RNA, 473 nt
Filed under: Androctonus crassicauda
Lineage: Eukaryota; Metazoa; Arthropoda; Arachnida; Scorpiones; Buthidae
Source: RNAcentral